Long non-coding RNA from Fukomys damarensis (Damara mole-rat), 780 nucleotides. RefSeq lists it as uncharacterized. The record is from RefSeq and is a predicted model, not a curated record. NCBI's taxonomy places the organism in Eukaryota, Metazoa, Chordata, Mammalia, Rodentia, Bathyergidae. The transcript has 3 exons.
GAGGUUUAACAUUGCUGCUUUCUCUUCAAAGCCUCCACCAAGUCGUUCUUAAGAGCUUCUUGUUUUGAUUUGUCUGCGAAAGUCUGCACAGACCUGCAGAGGAGGAAAGGAGGGUUACACGUGGAUGGAACCAGAAGAGAUGUGGCACUGAGGGCCAGGCCAAGGCUCUGGGCCUGCUCCGGACCUGUACCCUCAGCACCAGCACCGGGCCUGGUUUCUGGAGAGGCACCGCCCACCGAUGAUGUCAGCUCCGCCCAGGCAGUGGGUGACCUGGUUCUAGCAACCAGGACCUAGGGCCACCGCUUUGGGCAGAAGAACCCAGUGGCAUGGGACCCGGAAGGUGGCUUCUGGCUGCAGAGCAGCUGCCCCAGGCUUCCAGCUGGACAUCUGGGCUGCGGCAGAGGGGGCCGGCUGCUCCUCUAGGUGUAGCAGGGCCCCACCCGGCGAGCUGAGCCGUUAGGAGCAGUGCCUCUGCGUGCCAAGGCAGCACAGGAAGGCCAGGUGCUUUUAGGCUUCUGCUCGGGGACUCAGCCAGGAUUCUGGAAGGCGGCACAGGAGUGAGCUCCUUGAAGAGGCAGACCCCUGCUCUCCCCUUACCCCUGGGAAGGGAUGAGGACUUUGAGCUCACUGAUGGUUCUAUUUUAAAUGAUACCAGCAGCCCAAGGAUCCAGAGCCACCUUUCAAUGAGAAGGGCUGAAAACACUGGAUACUCAAAAGGAGGUGGGGGAGUACAUGGGCUCCCCAGGAACAAAUAAGGGGCCCCUCGGUCAGGGCAGGAAA